This 17-nucleotide unclassified non-coding RNA is filed under the name Goura sclaterii (Sclater's crowned-pigeon). RNAcentral describes it as "partial 3' external transcribed spacer". Lineage: Eukaryota; Metazoa; Chordata; Aves; Columbiformes; Columbidae. The record is from RNAcentral.
CUCCGGCCUUGGGCGGC